UUUAACUUGACAUGCAUACAGUGGGUCAUACAGUAUAUAAGUAGCAUAUUGUUAAAAAGUUUUCUGAAUAUAUUCUUAAACUUAAUUCAA
Pangasianodon gigas (Mekong giant catfish) is the source of this 90-nucleotide non-coding RNA. NCBI's taxonomy places the organism in Eukaryota, Metazoa, Chordata, Actinopteri, Siluriformes, Pangasiidae. The record is from the annotation of a GenBank genome assembly.